GGGGGUGUAACUCAGUUGGUAGAGUGCUUGCCUAGUGUGCAAGAAGUCCUGAGUUCAGUCCCCAGCACCNCAU
This 73-nucleotide transfer RNA is filed under the name Neotoma lepida (desert woodrat). It matches the Rfam family "tRNA". Rfam says of the family: Transfer RNA (tRNA) molecules are approximately 80 nucleotides in length. Their secondary structure includes four short double-helical elements and three loops (D, anti-codon, and T loops). Lineage: Eukaryota; Metazoa; Chordata; Mammalia; Rodentia; Cricetidae. The record is from Rfam by way of RNAcentral.